GAACGCUGGCGGCGUGCCUAAUACAUGCAAGUCGAACCAUCUUCCGUUAAUUGAUUAUGACGUGCUUGCACUGAAUGAGAUUUUAACACGAAGUGAGUGGCGGACGGGUGAGUAACACGUGGGUAACCUGCCCAGAAGCAGGGGAUAACACCUGGAAACAGAUGCUAAUACCGUAUAACAGAGAAAACCGCCUGGUUUUCUUUUAAAAGAUGGCUCUGCUAUCACUUCUGGAUGGACCCGCGGCGCAUUAGCUAGUUGGUGAGGUAACGGCUCACCAAGGCGAUGAUGCGUAGCCGACCUGAGAGGGUAAUCGGCCACAUUGGGACUGAGACACGGCCCAGACUCCUACGGGAGGCAGCAGUAGGGAAUCUUCCACAAUGGACGCAAGUCUGAUGGAGCAACGCCGCGUGAGUGAAGAAGGGUUUCGGCUCGUAAAGCUCUGUUGUUAAAGAAGAACGUGGGUGAGAGUAACUGUUCACCCAGUGACGGUAUUUAACCAGAAAGCCACGGCUAACUACGUGCCAGCAGCCGCGGUAAUACGUAGGUGGCAAGCGUUAUCCGGAUUUAUUGGGCGUAAAGCGAGCGCAGGCGGUCUUUUAAGUCUAAUGUGAAAGCCUUCGGCUCAACCGAAGAAGUGCAUUGGAAACUGGGAGACUUGAGUGCAGAAGAGGACAGUGGAACUCCAUGUGUAGCGGUGAAAUGCGUAGAUAUAUGGAAGAACACCAGUGGCGAAGGCGGCUGUCUGGUCUGUAACUGACGCUGAGGCUCGAAAGCAUGGGUAGCGAACAGGAUUAGAUACCCUGGUAGUCCAUGCCGUAAACGAUGAUUACUAAGUGUUGGAGGGUUUCCGCCCUUCAGUGCUGCAGCUAACGCAUUAAGUAAUCCGCCUGGGGAGUACGACCGCAAGGUUGAAACUCAAAAGAAUUGACGGGGGCCCGCACAAGCGGUGGAGCAUGUGGUUUAAUUCGAAGCUACGCGAAGAACCUUACCAGGUCUUGACAUCUUCUGCCAACCUAAGAGAUUAGGCGUUCCCUUCGGGGACAGAAUGACAGGUGGUGCAUGGUUGUCGUCAGCUCGUGUCGUGAGAUGUUGGGUUAAGUCCCGCAACGAGCGCAACCCUUAUUACUAGUUGCCAGCAUUCAGUUGGGCACUCUAGUGAGACUGCCGGUGACAAACCGGAGGAAGGUGGGGACGACGUCAAAUCAUCAUGCCCCUUAUGACCUGGGCUACACACGUGCUACAAUGGAUGGUACAACGAGUCGCGAAACCGCGAGGUUUAGCUAAUCUCUUAAAACCAUUCUCAGUUCGGACUGUAGGCUGCAACUCGCCUAUACGAAGUCGGAAUCGCUAGUAAUCGCGGAUCAGCAUGCCGCGGUGAAUACGUUCCCGGGCCUUGUACACACCGCCCGUCACACCAUGAGAGUUUGUAACACCC
Molecule: ribosomal RNA, 1435 nt
Filed under: uncultured organism
Description: SSU rRNA
Rfam family: Bacterial small subunit ribosomal RNA
Source: RNAcentral